This is a long non-coding RNA of Daphnia pulex (common water flea), 443 nucleotides long. RefSeq lists it as uncharacterized. The transcript is spliced from 4 exons. The record is from RefSeq and is a predicted model, not a curated record. Lineage: Eukaryota; Metazoa; Arthropoda; Branchiopoda; Diplostraca; Daphniidae.
AACGACACCACGUCAAAUGCCUUACUAAAACAUCACCCAUUUGAUAAAGCAUCAGGAAAUUUAUCCCACCCGAGGAGUAAUGCAGUUGGUUGCUGUAGUUCCAUUAUCACGGUUUUUCGUCAUGGACAUUUCAGUGUGCUUCUUAGAAAAGAGCACACAAGAUCCCCACGGCCCACGAACAUCCUUGAGCCAAUGCUGGAUUUUUUCCAUGACAGAAGAGGGACUUCCACCCACAUUCUGCUCCAUCCUUAUCUUCAAGACUCAUCCAGCUUUACUGCUUCAGUGCUUCUUAUGCUGCUAGUCCUGCUACACAACUUUUCUUGCUUCACUGGCAAGUUGGAUCACUUCAGUUGCUGUGACACACCUGCAGUCACUCACCACGGGAUUAUGGCCAGGUAAUGCAGAGAAGACGUCGAGAAGAUGGACACCAAAACAUCGCCGGU